UGCAUCUAUGAAGUGCUUCAAUGAAGAGAACGCAAAUAAAAGCGCGACAGAAAAUGAACAGCAAGACACAAGAACCACAACACGUUUAACGCAUAUUGCACCUUGAACAACCGUACGAGGUACACAUUUUUGAGUGCCUAUAUUUCGUACUUUAACUACGGGACCAUCCAGCCACCGGUGGGUAGUUUUGUGCGUAACGACGUGUUCCUGGCACAAUAGCCGGUAACACGUUUAAGAUAGUCAGACACGGUGUAUUUGUUGUGUAUGUGUUGUCUCCCCCCACACACACAUGCCUUCAUUGUGGUUGAUGAGUCCACUACGAGGAGGGGCAACUUUUGUUGUUCCGUGUACUCCAUUAAGGCACACACAACACAGAGUAUAAUAAAUAUAGUAGGCCUCAAAUAAUGAUACUCAAAAUA
RNAcentral lists this ribosomal RNA (419 nucleotides) under Anopheles claviger. RNAcentral describes it as "eukaryotic LSU rRNA". The record is from RNAcentral. Lineage: Eukaryota; Metazoa; Arthropoda; Insecta; Diptera; Culicidae.